Molecule: ribosomal RNA, 741 nt
Filed under: Triticum aestivum (bread wheat)
Lineage: Eukaryota; Viridiplantae; Streptophyta; Magnoliopsida; Poales; Poaceae
Description: partial small subunit ribosomal RNA
Source: RNAcentral
CCGCACCGGAGUCGUGUGGGCGGGUACCGCGCCUACCGGUGUGCAGCUCGUAGGCGGCUCUCCUAUUCCCUGGUGGGAGCAGGGACCUAGCUUGAGAUCGGGAUAGAAAAGGAAGGAGCGGGGAGAGAGCGAGCUAGGGUAGAGGUGGGCUCGCAGUGGCAGCAGUACGGCGGAGGUAUCGGCGCCGGUGGCAGCAGGGGAGCGGGUGACUCGCGCAGGAAGGCGAUGUAGCAGCUGGUGACGGAGUUGGUGUUGGUGGUCUACAUCGUCCCUCGGGGAUGUAGCUGGCCUAGCUCCAGUAGAAGUUGGAGGCGUGGCGGCGAGUGGCAGAAGCUAAGCCGGAGUGGCCUCGGAGGAGCUCGGGCGAAACGAGUGGAUGUCCUAGCUAUGGGGCUCUGACGGCCGCUGGUGGUCAAGCUGAUAACACAACUGCUGGGGAGAGAGAACGGUCUCGUUGGUCUACUACCUCAGAUCCUAGGUCUGCGGUAGCAGCUACUACUGAGGAUGAUGCGGCCUCCACGGAUGAUGAUGCACGUCGGGCGACUGCUGCUGGUUCUCAUCAAUGCUCCUAGGGUUCGUCCUCCGGACGCGGAGAAAGCUAGACAUCGGAUCAAACACGAUCGGAAGAAUUCCGUUUGAACAAAUUGAAUACAGACAUGAGUCUAUAACUACGAAGACGACUGAGCAGAUACUAGCUCGUGAACAUAAGCUCGGGAACUCCGGGGACCGAACAUAAUACUA